UCCCGUUUAGCUCAGUUGGUAGAGCGCGUCACUAGUACAUGGGCUUCAAGAUUCUGCUCUGCUAUGACGAGGUCAGUCGUUCGAGUCGGCUAAUGGGAA
Molecule: non-coding RNA, 99 nt
Organism: Cerioporus squamosus
Lineage: Eukaryota; Fungi; Basidiomycota; Agaricomycetes; Polyporales; Polyporaceae
Source: the annotation of a GenBank genome assembly